This is a long non-coding RNA of Neofelis nebulosa (Clouded leopard), 885 nucleotides long. RefSeq lists it as uncharacterized. The transcript is spliced from 3 exons. The record is from RefSeq and is a predicted model, not a curated record. Lineage: Eukaryota; Metazoa; Chordata; Mammalia; Carnivora; Felidae.
CCAUUGGAACUACCAUAUCUACUUUUUAUAGUGUUUCUGACUCACCAUCACUUUCACCUUCUCCUAUUUUCAAAAUCAUUCUCUAAGCCCAACCUAUGCUUAAGGCAAAGGGAAUGAAGGUAUACCUUAUGAAGGGCUUAAAAGAGAAUUUAUGAACAUAUUUUAGACUGCCACAGUCUGCCUGCUGGCCUCAAAUUGUUUACUUACAUCCUGCAUGCAAAAUAUCCUCACCCCAUCCCAAGAAUCCUCCCUCUUAAAGCCCCAACCCUUUAUAACAUCAGCUCAAAGUCCAGAAUAUUGUUAUCUAAAUUAGGUCCAGGUGUGGAUGAGUCUCCUUGGGUGCACUGGUUUUUGACUACACUUUUUCUCAAUCUGAAGACCUAUGAAUUAAGCAUACAACCAACACGGGCACGUGAUAACCAGAAUAAAUGCUGCUGUUGGAAAAGGAACGAAGGAGGUUCUCAUGAGUCACCGGUCCAUAGCAAUUCUGAAGUUCAGCUGGCACAGACUGAGCAUUCUGGCAGGAGAAACCUGAAAUGCACAGUCAAAUGAAUUUUUCUAGUCAAUGUGGAGCAGAGAGCAAGGCAGAAUGGGUUUGUCUCUUAAUUCGGGCCAAAGACCCUGAGGGCAAAGCAACGCCUGCCGGGAACUGAAACUACCCCUCAAGCAAUAAGGACUGCCCUGAGCCAAUAAGACUCCACCAUCAACUCCAAGACAAUGACCAACCUGACCUUUACUGACCACCUGCAUGUACCCACCCACCUUUGUCCCACAUUUUCUUUACAUAUUCCUGGAAGUAUUUUUGGUACUUUAGAGACAGUCUUUGAUGUUAGUCUGCUAUCUUCCUGGUGUUGGCCUCACUGAAUAAAUUCCCUCUUUGUUUCA